This 279-nucleotide ribosomal RNA is filed under the name uncultured bacterium. Its description in RNAcentral is "partial 16S ribosomal RNA". It matches the Rfam family "Bacterial small subunit ribosomal RNA", at positions 506 to 784 of the family's 1533-position model. The record is from RNAcentral.
UGCCAGCCGCCGCGGUAAGACGGAGGUGGCAAACGCUGUUCGGAAUCACUGGGCUUAAAGCGCGCGUAGGCGGCUAUUUAAGUCAGAUGUGAAAGUCCACGGCUCAACCGUGGAAGUGCAUUUGAAACUGGAUGGCUUGAGUACUGGAGGGGGCGGUGGAAUUCCCGGUGUAGAGGUGAAAUUCGUAGAUAUCGGGAGGAAUACCGGUGGCGAAGGCGACCACCUGGCCAGAUACUGACGCUGAGGUGCGAAAGCGUGGGGAGCAAACAGGAUUAGAUA